RNAcentral lists this ribosomal RNA (400 nucleotides) under phytoplankton environmental sample. Its description in RNAcentral is "partial small subunit ribosomal RNA". It matches the Rfam family "Eukaryotic small subunit ribosomal RNA", at positions 587 to 985 of the family's 1831-position model. The record is from RNAcentral.
AGCUCCAUUAGCGUAUAUUAAAGUUGUUGCAGUUAAAAAGCUCGUAGUUGGAUUUCGGUGUGGGCCAGUCGGUCGGCCGCAAGGCUUGUUCACUGGCUGGUCUGCUCUCUCAAUCUCAAAGACUGCACGUGCUCUUCAAUGUAGUGUGUGUCAGGAUUUGGGACGUUUACUUUGAAAAAAUUAGAGUGUUCAAGGCAGGCUUUGAGGCUUGAAUACAUGAGCAUGGAAUAAUGGAAUAGGACCUCGGUCCCUAUUUCGUUGGUUUUACGGACCGAAGUAAUGAUUAAGAGGGACAAUUGGGGGCAUCCGUAUUUCGUAGUCAGAGGUGAAAUUCUUGGACCUACGAAAGACGAACAACUGCGAAAGCAUUUGCCAAGAGUGUUUUCAUUAAUCAAGAACG